UCAUGCCAAAGAAUAAAGGCAAAAGAGGUAAAAACAGGUGCAGAGGGAAAAAUGAAAAUGAAUCUGAGAAGAGAGAGUUGGUGUUUAAAGAGGAUGGGCAGGAGGAGUAUGCUCAGGUGAUCAAAAUGCUGGGAUGAGGACGCUUGGAAGCAAUGUGCUUUGAUGGUGUGAAGAGGCUAUGCCACAUAAGAGGGAAGCUGAGAAAAAAGGUUUGGAUAAAUACCUCGGACAUUAUAUUGAUUGGUCUACGAGACUAUCAAGAUAACAAAGCUGAUGUAAUUUUAAAGUAUAAUGCAGAUGAAGCAAGAAGUUUGAAGGCCUAUGGAGAACUUCCAGAACAUGCCAAAAUCAAUGAAACAGACACAUUUGGUUCUGGGGGUGAUGAUGAAAUCCAGUUUGAUGAUAUUGGAGAUGAUGAUGAAGACAUUGAUGAUAUCUAACCUGACCUAAGCAUGUUACAUUCCAAGUUCNCUGAAGAUAGCUCUACACAACUGGCAUCUUGACCUUCAGCUGUUAAGUAAAACUUCAUUUGGCAUGUGUAUGACUUGUUAAUGCAAAUUGAUGAAUUUUAUUUUUUGAAGUAUUAUAUUUCUUUNAAAACNAAAGAUNUUGAGUUAUCUUAAGUGACAUGUUAACACUUUGUGCUUAUGGAUGUAAUUGAACUUAGGGCANAGCAGUGAGCACUGUUAAGAGACUGCCUUUCCAUUUGUGACGCUUCAUUUCUGCAUGUGAGUGGUUUGUGUCAACAGU
Molecule: RNA transcript, 750 nt
Organism: Mus pahari (shrew mouse)
Lineage: Eukaryota; Metazoa; Chordata; Mammalia; Rodentia; Muridae
Gene name: eukaryotic translation initiation factor 1A, X-chromosomal-like
Exons: 1
Source: RefSeq, a predicted model, not a curated record